Molecule: long non-coding RNA, 574 nt
Organism: Cannabis sativa
Lineage: Eukaryota; Viridiplantae; Streptophyta; Magnoliopsida; Rosales; Cannabaceae
Exons: 3
Source: RefSeq, a predicted model, not a curated record
ACAUCUUCCAAAAAAAAAACCCUAUUUUCUUUCCCACCAUUUUCUUCUAAUCCAAAAUUUCAAGAAAACAUCAAUGUUCUCUUCUUCUAUUUCAUCACAACCAUUUCAAAAAAAAUAUUGAAAUAUGUUUGGGUAAGCUUCAUACAACAUAAAGAAAGCUUGAGAAUUGAUUGAAGCUUCAUUUUGGUUGUGGAUUUAAUUAGUAAGGAUUCAUUUUAUAAAUUGAAGUGAAGUGAAGUUUGGUGGUUCAUUAAAAGAGGUAUGUACAAUCACUCAUUUCUUUGCUUAACGCCAUAAUAUUGUUCAUCUUAAAAGAGUUUGAAUAUCUUAAAUAUUCAUCCAUAGUGAAGUAGGUUUUGAGAUUAAGUGUGUUGCGAUGAUAAUGGAAGGUUGAAACUUAUGUGUUGUAGUGAAGUAGGUUCUGGGAAAUUUGUGUGCUGCGGAGAUAUAAGGAAGAAACUUAUUGUGUGAUAUUUUUUAUUUGUAGAUAUAAUAGUUACUUAUGAAAGUAGAAAAUGUUAUAGAAACAGAGGAAACUCUGUCCAAUUUUUAAUUAUGUUUAUUCUGUGUUGUU